AACUGUGGGGACACGUAAGGAGAGCGGGAGCCGGGAAUGGAAAGCCCGGUACAAGCGAGGUACCAGUAUGGUAGGAAAAACCGCCAAGCAAUGGGAAGACGUGAUGUGGAGUGAAAUAUAGUAACGAAGCCCGUGAGCCAUGCGUCAAGAAAAGCCGCUAUUGUUUAUAUUGUACCCGUACCGUAAACCGACACAGGUGGAUGAGGAGAGAAUCCUAAGGCCGGCGGAAGAAGUACUGCCAAGGAACUCGGCAAAAUGGCCCCGUAACUUAGGGAGAAGGGGUGCCUGCGAGAGCAGGCCGCAGAGAAUAGGCUCAAGCAACUGUUUGGCAAAAACACAGGUCUAUGCGAAACCGAAAGGUGAGGUAUAUGGGCUGACGCCUGCCCGGUGCUGGAAGGUUAAGAGGAGAGGUUAGACGCAAGUCGAAGCUUUGAAUUUAAGCCCCAGUAAACGGCGGCCGUAACGAUAACGGUCCUAAGGUAGCGAAAUUCCUUGUCGGGUAAGUUCCGACCCGCACGAAAGGCGUAAUGAUUUGAGCGCUGUCUCGGCAAUACAUCCGGUGAAAUUGAAGUGCCAGUGAAGAUGCUGGCUACCCGCGCCAGGACGGAAAGACCCCAUGGAGCUUUACUCCAGUUUGGCACUGGGGUCCGGUGUUGCAUGUACAGAUAGGUGGGAGGCUGAGAGAUAGUGACGUCAGUUGCUAUGGAGCCGCUGUUGGGAUACCACCCUUGUGAUAUUGGGCUUCUAACCAGCCGCCGUGAACCGGCGGUGGGACAAUGCCAGGCGGGGAGUUUGACUGGGGCGGUCGCCUCCGAAAGGGUAUCGGAGGCGCCCAAAGGUUCCCUCAGAAUGGACGGAAACCAUUCGAAGAGUGCAAAGGCAGAAGGGAGCUUGACUGCGACACCGACGGGUGGAGCAGGUACGAAAGUAGGGCUUAGUGAUCCGGUGGUAUUAAGUGGGAAUGCCAUCGCUCAACGGAUAAAAGCUACCCUGGGAUAACAGGCUUAUCACUCCCAAGAGUUCACAUCGACGGAGCGGUUUGGCACCUCGAUGUCGGCUCAUCGCAUCCUGGGGCUGUAGUAGGUCCCAAGGGUUGGGCUGUUCGCCCAUUAAAGCGGUACGCGAGCUGGGUUCAGAACGUCGUGAGACAGUUCGGUCCCUAUCCGGCGUGGGCGUAGGAUAUCUGAGAGGAGCCGUCCUUAGUACGAGAGGACCGGGAUGGACGGACCGCUGGUGGACCGGUUGGCUUGCCAAAGCCAUGGCCGGGUAGCCAAGUCCGGAAGGGAUAAACGCUGAAGGCAUCUAAGCGUGAAGCCCCCCUCAAGAUGAGAUAUCCCAUUCUUUAAGAAGUAAACCCCCUUGAAGACGACGAGGUAGAUAGGGCAGAGGUGGAAGUGUGGUAACACAUGGAGCUGACUGUUACUAAUCGGGUGAGGGCUUGACC
RNAcentral lists this ribosomal RNA (1444 nucleotides) under metagenome. Its description in RNAcentral is "bacterial LSU rRNA". It matches the Rfam family "Bacterial large subunit ribosomal RNA", at positions 1462 to 2925 of the family's 2925-position model. The record is from RNAcentral.